GAUGAACGCUCGCUACAGGCUUAACACAUGCAAGUCGAGGGGAAACGACAUCGAAAGCUUGCUUUUGAUGGGCGUCGACCGGCGCACGGGUGAGUAACGCGUAUCCAACCUGCCCAUCACUUGGGGAUAACCUUGCGAAAGUAAGACUAAUACCCAAUGAUAUCUCUAGAAGACAUCUGAAAGAGAUUAAAGAUUUAUCGGUGAUGGAUGGGGAUGCGUCUGAUUAGCUUGUUGGCGGGGUAACGGCCCACCAAGGCAACGAUCAGUAGGGGUUCUGAGAGGAAGGUCCCCCACAUUGGAACUGAGACACGGUCCAAGCUCCUACGGGAGGCAGCAGUGGGGAAUAUUGGUCGAUGGGCGAGGGCCUGAACCAGCCAAGUAGCGUGCAGGAAGACGGCCCUAUGGGUUGUAAACUGCUUUUAUAAGGGAAUAAAGUGAGAGUCGUGACUCUUUUUGUAUGUACCUUAUGAAUAAGGACCGGCUAAUUCCGUG
Molecule: ribosomal RNA, 492 nt
Filed under: uncultured bacterium
Lineage: Bacteria
Description: partial 16S ribosomal RNA
Rfam family: Bacterial small subunit ribosomal RNA
Source: RNAcentral